UACGGGAGGCAGCAGUGGGGAAUAUUGCACAAUGGGCGCAAGCCUGAUGCAGCCAUGCCGCGUGUAUGAAGAAGGCCUUCGGGUUGUAAAGUACUUUCAGUCGUGAGGAAGGUGUUAAGGUUAAUAACCUUAGCAAUUGACGUUAGCGACAGAAGAAGCACCGGCUAACUCCGUGCCAGCAGCCGCGGUAAUACGGAGGGUGCGAGCGUUAAUCGGAAUUACUGGGCGUAAAGGGCACGCAGGCGGUUAAUUAAGUUGGAUGUGAAAUCCCCGGGCUUAACCUGGGAAUGGCAUUCAAGACUGGUUAGCUAGAGUCUUGUAGAGGGGGUAGAAUUCCGAUGUGUAGCGGUGAAAUGCGUAGAGAUGUGGAGGAAUACCGGUGGCGAAGGCGGCCCCUGGGACAAAGACUGACGCUCAUGUGCGAAAGCGUGGGGAGCAAACAGGGAUUAGAACC
RNAcentral lists this ribosomal RNA (454 nucleotides) under uncultured bacterium. RNAcentral's name for it is "bacterial SSU rRNA". It matches the Rfam family "Bacterial small subunit ribosomal RNA", at positions 340 to 785 of the family's 1533-position model. The record is from RNAcentral.